UACGAAGGGGGCUAGCGUUGUUCGGAUUUACUGGGCGUAAAGCGUGCGCAGGCGGUCUGUUAAGACCGAUGUGAAAUCCCCGGGCUUAACCUGGGAACUGCGCUUGUAACUGGCAAGCUAGAGUGUGGCAGAGGGGGGUGGAAUUCCACGUGUAGCAGUGAAAUGCGUAGAGAUGUGGAGGAACACCGAUGGCGAAGGCAGCCCCCUGGGCUAACACUGACGCUCAUGCACGAAAGCGUGGGGAGCAAACAGG
RNAcentral lists this ribosomal RNA (253 nucleotides) under uncultured bacterium. RNAcentral describes it as "partial 16S ribosomal RNA". It matches the Rfam family "Bacterial small subunit ribosomal RNA", at positions 524 to 776 of the family's 1533-position model. The record is from RNAcentral.